AACUGAAAGUUCUCCAGGCUUCUGUCUCUGCCAGCCAGGAGAAUCAUGAAGGAGUUCUUUUCCUUGAAUAAGAUCCUUGGGAUGAGAUUGCAGUCCAUUCAUUUCUGCGCUGCUUCCAUGGUACUGACUGGGGACGAAGCAGUGAACCUACCAGAUCAGAUCCAUACCCUCGUGGAACUUACAUUCUAGUUGAUGAGACCAAUGUAAACAAAAAUCAAAUACUCUGGAUAAUGUUAGGAUACUGAAAUGAAAGAGGUAGAGUCCCUGCUCUUGAAGCACCCAUGAUCUGGUGGAGGAGAUUGGCACAGAGACCAUUGACUCCAGCAUGUGAAAAGCACUAUAACGAAGGCAGGCCCAGCGGUCCCCGGAGGGUGCUGACCCUUGCCUGGCAGGCCCUCCUCGUGCUGGUCCUCCUCGUGCUGUGCUGCUUCGCAGUCCAUUACCAGCUGCUUAAGCAGCAGGUUCCUGGUGGCUGGUCAGCUGGAACUGCUUCCUGACGACAAACAGGAAGGACACAGCAGCCUGUGAAGCAGCUUCCCUCAUUGGCCUCAUUGACAGAAAAAAAAAAAAAUUUAAAUCUUACAACAUUGAGGAGAACUUCAUGCUAUUAAUAACUCCUCAAGCCUCUUCCUGGAGAGGGGAACGAGCCAGCUUUAGGUUGCCCUGGAGGAACCUUUGCACUUGCCUGCGUUAACAAGCCUUUACAAGCCUCCAGUCCCAGGUCCUGAUGACUUGUCCUCCACACUUGCUUACGGCUUUGGCUACGUAAUCUCAUGGCGAUCCUGACCCCCUCCGUGAAACUGGAGCCUCCUCUACAGCAAAAUAAACCUCCCCACCAUUCGGGCAGCUUGCCUUCUUUUAUGCAGGAUGCUGGAAAGAGCUCAGGGAAAAGAGAGAUUAAGGAAGGCAAGGAAAUAAGGUGAGAGUUCCUGGUAGAUGAUAGCAAAUCCCUGCUCUGACACUUCCUGGCUGUGUGGCCAUAGGGAAAUUAUUUCACCUCUCUGAGCCUAAACUUCCUCAUCUGUAAGACAGGGAAAAUAAACUUGGUGCCUUAUAGGGUUGGAGGUGCUGCGACUUAUAAAGGGCUUCGUACUGUCCGUUUGGAAAGAGGAAGGGUCAGUGUGACCUGUAUGGGUCUCAUUAGCACUCACAUCCCCCAAUGGCAGUGGUUCAGAAUUUGGGCUCUGUUAUUUAUUACACGUGUGACUUUGAGCAAACCUCACUGGGCUUCCGUUUUCUCCCAGGCAAAAUGGAUAUAAGGAUUCCCAUCUCAUAUGGAAUCUUGUAAAGAUGAGCUGGCAUCAUGCACACAAAACAGUAAGGUGCCCGGACACAGGCAUUCAGGAAAUGCGGGCGUUUACAGUUUGCUGAUGAAAAAUUGGCAUGUUUCCUGUAAAACAUAGGAGUUUUGCAAAACCAGUUCUAAACCCCUGGCUGCCCAGUCCCCAAAGGCUCAGAGAAUGAACAGGUUCUAAUCCCAUAUCUACGCCUGAAAUCCUGUCCUGUAAGGUGUUCCGUCUUCAUCUCCUUUCUCGCUCUUCCAGCUUCUCCUUGUCUCCCUGCCUAGGCCUCUCAUUAGUCCAAUUAAUAAACUGUUGCUGUCACUUCAGUUCAGCCCCAGGACCCGCAUCCCUUGUGGAUGCGCCAUUAUGCUGGGGAAGUGAAUUGUGGGGCACCCUCAUUUCCACAGGAGAGUGGAACAAGGACCUGGGGUUGGCAGGAGAUGGACCUCCCUGGGUCCCAGUCUCGUAGAACAUCAACAGGAUAAUCAGUGAGAACUUCAUUAUCCAGAAUGAGAGUCUGGCUGUUUGGCACAUCACCAGGGUCCCAUUUAUGGGCUGGAAGGUUCUGGCCUGAGGCCUCUGGCUUUCCACGCACUGGCCUUCAGCUUCCCCUUGAACAUGUACACACACACACACACACACACACACACACACACACACACACACACAAUGCAGGCACGCACACAAUUUCCUUGGGCUUUUAGUAAGCUAAAGAGUUUGUGGGUACAUUCCAGUCCUGGAAGGCUGGUGAGCCGAGUGAAGCUGAUGCUGGAGGGCCCAGAAACGCACGACUGCUCCUGCUGAUUGCUGAGAAUAACCAAGCCCUGAGGUUCCCAAGAGCCCAUUAAACCAUCACAAGUGUCUCAUCCCUAGUGGGAGCAGUCCCCCACCUCCCCAGCCUUGGAAAGAUAAAGGACCAGGCCUGGGGAGUGGCCCAGCUAGCUGAAAACAAGAAGAUGGGACUAUUGGGUUAGCUCAGAAGCUCCAGCAGCCUGGGGACAGGUUGGUUUGCUAGGUACACAAUGGAGUCAGCAUUCACAGCCUCCUCCCUGACAUCCUAUGAUGUGAAACUGGAGUUUAUGCUGAGGACAGGGGAGGGUAGGGGGCAUGGUUUGAUGGGAAGUUAUUUCCCCAGCCAGUUAUAUCAUUCAUACCUGUUCAGGCAUACAUUUAGGGGAAACGGGGUUCCUAUCAAAGUCAUUGUGCUGACACCUGGCUCUCACCUGCUGCCCUAUCAGCACUUCUAUUUGCCACCCAGAAUUAUGAGCUUCCAUGCUGGCCUUAGCCCAAGCUGAAUGUGGAGAGUGAUACGUUUUCUUUCACUUCUUUGUCUAAUUCCCCACAACCACAAAAACACACGUGCUUUGUAUAAUAGACUUCACGGUAGGUCUCCGAGUGUGGUUCUCAAAAUAUAGUCCAUGGGCCAGCUGCAUCAUCAUCACCUGGGAACUUGUUAGAAAUACAGAUUCUUCAGCAUUACCCCAGGCCUACAGAAUUAGAAAUUCUGGGAGCCAGCCCAACAAUUUGUUUAUUAACAAGCCCUUCAAGCGAUUCUGAUACCUGCUGAAAUUUAAGGACCAUUACUGUAUGUUUGAAGAUACCUUGAAAAAAAUCACAGUAUAGGGAAGGAGACUAAAUUCAAGCAGAAUUGUAAAUAGGACUGUUUACAAGCCCAUAGGAAUAUAAAAAGGGGCUUUCAUGGAGUUUUGCUUCCCUCUCUGGAGGCCCACGUGAAGAGGUUGAUUUCUUCCCAUAUAAAAACAAUCCUAAGCAUGUGCUCACACACAUACCACACACACACACAUGCACACACGGGCAUGCACACACACACACACGAGAACCCAUUCCCCACCUUUUCUCUACAGAGGCCACAACAUUCUUGAAUUUGGUGUUUAUCAUUUACAUGCAUGCUUUUAUUACAUAUUUACUACAUAUAAUUUUUUGCAUAUUUUAAACUUUGUGUAUUUUGGACAUACCAGACAUAUCUGCUGGCAGUUUGCUUUUUUCAUUUGUCAUUAAGUUUUGAGAUUUAUUUUAGGUGCUACUACAUCUAUUUUUUUGUUGGUGGACUUUUAGAUUGAUCCAAUUUCCUUUUUUUCCCCAAAUUUUUAUUUGAAUUCUAGUUAGUUAAGGGGUGCCUGGGUGGCUCAGUCAACUGAGCAUCCGCCUUCAGCUCAGGUCAUGAUU
Molecule: long non-coding RNA, 3470 nt
Organism: Felis catus (domestic cat)
Lineage: Eukaryota; Metazoa; Chordata; Mammalia; Carnivora; Felidae
Exons: 4
Source: RefSeq, a predicted model, not a curated record